AGGACGAACGCUGGCGGCGUGCUUAACACAUGCAAGUCGAGCGCGAAUGCUUUCGGGUGUUUGAGCGGCGAACGGGUGAGUAACACGUGGGUGACCUGCCCUCAGCUCUGGGAUAAGCCUGGGAAACUGGGUCUAAUACCGGAUAUGACAUGAUCUCGCAUGGGGUUGUGUGGUAAAGUUUUUUCGGCUGGGGAUGGGCCCGCGGCCUAUCAGCUUGUUGGUGGGUGAUGGCUUACCAAGGCGACGACGGGUA
RNAcentral lists this ribosomal RNA (253 nucleotides) under uncultured soil bacterium. RNAcentral describes it as "partial 16S ribosomal RNA". It matches the Rfam family "Bacterial small subunit ribosomal RNA", at positions 26 to 285 of the family's 1533-position model. The record is from RNAcentral.